GUGUACAACGACCCCUUCACGUCAACCUGAAGACAUUCUGAUAUUAGCCGGGAGCCGCGCAAAAGGGCAAAUUGUAUCAGAAGCGAAUACGAGUCGCAAAGUGAGAAGUGACAGCCGGGCCAAAUUGCAGACGACAACAUGCUUUUAGCGACUUGUGGGCCUUAGAUAGCGGUACAAUAGGAUCACCACUUCAAACUAAUUUAAAAUAUAAGAGACUAGCGAUCAUUACAGAAAAACGAAAGGAAAAAAUCUGCAAUUUCUGAAGUUUACAAUCUGAGAUACAUUCAAACCCAAAGUGAACGCCUUCCAGCCGUUGGUAUACAGGCUUCUUUUGCCAAUUCUUCAAUAUUACUAAUUAUGUAAGCGUGUAAUAUGCAUAUAUAUAAAUAAAACAUAUGUAGAUAUAAAAACAGCGUUACUACGAGUUUCUUGGUUAACGAUAACAUAAUAUACGUAUAGUCACUAUGAUCAUUUCCGAGCCAUUGUAUUGUAACUCAUACUUCUUGAGAAACGAGAGGGAAGUCCUUGUGUGUAUUUUUAUAGUUCAGUCCAUAAUUAAGUAGAUAUUUUGCUUAAUCGGAAUGUUACAUAGGCAUUUUUUUUUUACUCCAACUAUGUUCUUUCAACGCAUUGCACUAUUCAUUGUACUCAAACUUUCUAUGCUUCCUCAUUUCAUUCCCCACUUUUCACGAAUGAAAGUGAACAUUUCAUAUUCAAGCAGUUGUUCAACAUUAUUCAUUUCCACAAGUCAUAUCACGCACUGUUCUAUAACAUAAACCAAUUUUUUUUUAUUUUAAACAGAGUUCAAUUUUAACAAUGAAAAUUCAAAUUCUGUUUUUGUUACUGGUCAAUGUUAUGCUAAUGAAAUGUGAAGAUAUGAUUCUUGGCGAUGUGUCUGAAAACAGAGUUGUUGUGCAUCACACAUCUGCCCAAUAUCCAGGGAUUAAUAAUCUAAGGAGACUGAGAUACGUCGUCUGGACCAGUUUGGAUCUUAAGCCUAUAUCUGGUAUUGCAGCAAUAGACAAAAUGAAAUCCAUGGCCCAUGCAAACGUCCUCGCUGGUGGGAUCGGGUUUGGUUUCGUUACCAUCAAACUGAAAAGUGAAAGAUCCAAGGGUCUCGAUUAUGAUAUUAAGAUUUAUUCAUAAAACUACGAAAUUUGAAUAAAUAAUUUUAGUUUUUGAAAUUAAACAACUGCGUGAAAUUCUAAGUGCUCUGGAUCUUACUUGAUGCAACAAAUUUCGAUGGCUAUUCAGCUCGGUAAUGCUGCCAGUGUUAUGGGGACGUUUGAGCCAGCUAAGAUUCGGGGCGGUCCUGUUUCAUUCUUAUAGUUAAAUAUAAAUGACUAAGUCUAGCGAAUUAAAUUAUUAAUUUCUUUGUGAUGAAGCCUGUUGCUGAUUUAUAUUUGUGUCUUCCCGACAAAGCCUACAGUGCGGUUUGACAUAAUC
Hyposmocoma kahamanoa is the source of this 1446-nucleotide long non-coding RNA. RefSeq lists it as uncharacterized. Lineage: Eukaryota; Metazoa; Arthropoda; Insecta; Lepidoptera; Cosmopterigidae. The record is from RefSeq and is a predicted model, not a curated record. The transcript is spliced from 3 exons.